UUCUAUAACUCCCAAACCCAUGUGAACAUACCUAACGUUGCCUCGGCAGGUCGCACCUACCUUGUAGCACCCUACCCUGUAGGGCCUACCCGGGAGGUGCGGGUAAGCCUGCCGGCGGCCCACCAAACUCUGUUUGAUAUUGAAUUCUGAACCUAUAACUAAAUAAGUUAAAACUUUCAACAACGGAUCUCUUGGUUCUGGCAUCGAUGAAGAACGCAGCGAAAUGCGAUAAGUAAUGUGAAUUGCAGAAUUCAGUGAAUCAUCGAAUCUUUGAACGCAUAUUGCGCCCAUUAGUAUUCUAGUGGGCAGGACCGUUCGAGCGUCAUUUCAACCCUUAAGCCUUCGUUGCUUAGUGUUGGGAGCCUACGGCAACGUAGCUCCUCAAAGUUAGUGGCGGAGUUAGUUCACACUCUAGACGUAGUAAUUUUUUAUCUCGCCUAUUAGUUGGACUAAUCCCCUGCCGUAAAACCCCCAAUUUAUCAAGGUUGACCUCGAAUCGGUUCAGACAAACUCGCUAAAUUGAAGCAUCUUAGUCAGCGAAGGAAAAGAAACCAACAGGGAUUGCCCUAGUAACGGCGAGUGAAGCGGCAACAGCUCAAAUUUGAA
This 606-nucleotide ribosomal RNA is filed under the name fungal endophyte. RNAcentral's name for it is "eukaryotic LSU rRNA". The stretch from base 172 to 325 matches the Rfam family "5.8S ribosomal RNA". Lineage: Eukaryota; Fungi. The record is from RNAcentral.